CUAUACAUGCAGUCGAGCGGACAGAUGGGAGCUUGCUCCCUGAUGUUAGCGGCGGACGGGUGAGUAACACGUGGGUAACCUGCCUGUAAGACUGGGAUAACUCCGGGAAACCGGGGCUAAUACCGGAUGGUUGUUUGAACCGCAUGGUUCAAACAUAAAAGGUGGCUUCGGCUACCACUUACAGAUGGACCCGCGGCGCAUUAGCUAGUUGGUGAGGUAACGGCUCACCAAGGCGACGAUGCGUAGCCGACCUGAGAGGGUGAUCGGCCACACUGGGACUGAGACACGGCCCAGACUCCUACGGGAGGCAGCAGUAGGGAAUCUUCCGCAAUGGACGAAAGUCUGACGGAGCAACGCCGCGUGAGUGAUGAAGGUUUUCGGAUCGUAAAGCUCUGUUGUUAGGGAAGAACAAGUACCGUUCGAAUAGGGCGGUACCUUGACGGUACCUAACCAGAAAGCCACGGCUAACUACGUGCCAGCAGCCGCGGUAAUACGUAGGUGGCAAGCGUUGUCCGGAAUUAUUGGGCGUAAAGGGCUCGCAGGCGGUUUCUUAAGUCUGAUGUGAAAGCCCCCGGCUCAACCGGGGAGGGUCAUUGGAAACUGGGGAACUUGAGUGCAGAAGAGGAGAGUGGAAUUCCACGUGUAGCGGUGAAAUGCGUAGAGAUGUGGAGGAACACCAGUGGCGAAGGCGACUCUCUGGUCUGUAACUGACGCUGAGGAGCGAAAGCGUGGGGAGCGAACAGGAUUAGAUACCCUGGUAGUCCACGCCGUAAACGAUGAGUGCUAAGUGUUAGGGGGUUUCCGCCCCUUAGUGCUGCAGCUAACGCAUUAAGCACUCCGCCUGGGGAGUACGGUCGCAAGACUGAAACUCAAAGGAAUUGACGGGGGCCCGCACAAGCGGUGGAGCAUGUGGUUUAAUUCGAAGCAACGCGAAGAACCUUACCAGGUCUUGACAUCCUCUGACAAUCCUAGAGAUAGGACGUCCCCUUCGGGGGCAGAGUGACAGGUGGUGCAUGGUUGUCGUCAGCUCGUGUCGUGAGAUGUUGGGUUAAGUCCCGCAACGAGCGCAACCCUUGAUCUUAGUUGCCAGCAUUCAGUUGGGCACUCUAAGGUGACUGCCGGUGACAAACCGGAGGAAAGGUGGGGGAUGACGUCAAAUCAUCAUGCCCCUUAUGACCUGGGCUACCCCCGUGCUACAAUGGACAGAACAAAGGG
Molecule: ribosomal RNA, 1215 nt
Filed under: Bacillus subtilis
Lineage: Bacteria; Bacillati; Bacillota; Bacilli; Caryophanales; Bacillaceae
Description: bacterial SSU rRNA
Rfam family: Bacterial small subunit ribosomal RNA
Source: RNAcentral